RNAcentral lists this ribosomal RNA (253 nucleotides) under uncultured bacterium. RNAcentral's name for it is "partial 16S ribosomal RNA". It matches the Rfam family "Bacterial small subunit ribosomal RNA", at positions 524 to 776 of the family's 1533-position model. The record is from RNAcentral.
UACGGGGGGGGCAAGCGUUGUUCGGAAUUACUGGGCGUAAAGAGCUCGUAGGCGGUUUGUCGCGUCUGCCGUGAAAGUCCGGGGCUCAACUCCGGAUCUGCGGUGGGUACGGGCAGACUAGAGUGAUGUAGGGGAGACUGGAAUUCCUGGUGUAGCGGUGAAAUGCGCAGAUAUCAGGAGGAACACCGAUGGCGAAGGCAGGUCUCUGGGCAUUAACUGACGCUGAGGCGCGAAAGCGUGGGGAGCAAACAGG